AUACGGAGGGUGCAAGCGUUACUCGGAAUCACUGGGCGUAAAGGACGCGUAGGCGGGUUGUCAAGUCUGAUGUGAAAUCCUAUGGCUCAACCAUAGAACUGCAUUGGAAACUGGCAACCUAGAGUAUGGGAGGGGGAGAUGGAAUUAGUGGUGUAGGGGUAAAAUCCGUAGAUAUCACUAGGAAUACCGAAAGCGAAGGCGAUCUCCUGGAACAUAACUGACGCUAAGGCGUGAAAGCGUGGGGAGCAAACGGGAUUAGAAACCCGAGUAGUCC
Molecule: ribosomal RNA, 274 nt
Filed under: uncultured bacterium
Lineage: Bacteria
Description: partial 16S ribosomal RNA
Rfam family: Bacterial small subunit ribosomal RNA
Source: RNAcentral